AUAAAAAGAAGAAACUGUCCCCAGGACAGAUCCAUUUCAACUUUUCAGGUCGAACACUGUCAAGGACUUGGGAACUGGAUCUCAGGAACAUGGAAUUACUGCAUGAGCUCCUACUUUGAAGGACUGAGCCUAUAAUGCACUUGAAUUUUCCUACAUUUUCUUUAGUUGUGGCUGCCAGCUCCCCAGUGUGCCUUUAAAAGUGUGGAUACAAACCCUCAGAGCCUCUCAUGGUGACAGAGCUUCGGAAGAUAACACUGGAGAGGAACUCCUCAGGCUAACAGCAAUGGUGACAUCGGAUCAUCACUUCUGUGGGUGAAGAAUAGCAGGUGCACAGGAGAUAUUUGAUACCAUUCCACUGGAACCACAUUUUGUAGGUGGGACCUUAGCCCCAA
Molecule: long non-coding RNA, 392 nt
Filed under: Parus major (Great Tit)
Lineage: Eukaryota; Metazoa; Chordata; Aves; Passeriformes; Paridae
Description: lncRNA (ENSPMJG00000011053.1)
Source: RNAcentral